GGGCGCGUAGUUCAAUUGGUUAGAGCACUGCCCUGUCACGGCAGAAGUUGCGAGUUCGAGCCUCGUCGCGCCCG
RNAcentral lists this transfer RNA (74 nucleotides) under bacterium. RNAcentral's name for it is "tRNA-Asp". It matches the Rfam family "tRNA". Rfam says of the family: Transfer RNA (tRNA) molecules are approximately 80 nucleotides in length. Their secondary structure includes four short double-helical elements and three loops (D, anti-codon, and T loops). The record is from RNAcentral.